GGGUCAGUAGGUUGGUCGUGCCACCGGUACGUACUGGUCUCACUGAUUCCUCCUUCCUGAAGAACCGUAAUGCCAUCAAUUUGGUGUUGCGGGGAAACAGGACUGUCACUUUGAAAAAAUUAGAGUGUUUAAAGCAGGCUAACGCUUGAAUACAUUAGCAUGGAAUAAUGAAAUAGGACGAUCGAUCCUAUUUUGUUGGUUUCUAGGAUUGACGUG
RNAcentral lists this ribosomal RNA (216 nucleotides) under Glomeromycotina sp. RNAcentral's name for it is "partial small subunit ribosomal RNA". The stretch from base 44 to 216 matches the Rfam family "Eukaryotic small subunit ribosomal RNA", at positions 690 to 864 of the family's 1831-position model. Lineage: Eukaryota; Fungi; Glomeromycota. The record is from RNAcentral.